GACGAACGCUGGCGGCGUGCUUAACACAUGCAAGUCGAACGGAAAGGCCCUGCUUGCAGGGUACUCGAGUGGCGAACGGGUGAGUAACACGUGGGUGAUCUGCCCUGCACUUCGGGAUAAGCCUGGGAAACUGGGUCUAAUACCGGAUAUGACCUUCCAUGUAGUGUGGGGGGUGGAAAGAUUUAUCGGUGUGGGAUGAGCCCGCGGCCUAUCAGCUUGUUGGUGGGGUAAUGGCCUACCAAGGCGUCGACGGGUAGCCGGCCUGAGAGGGUGGACGGCCACAUUGGGACUGAGAUACGGCCCAGACUCCUACGGGAGGCAGCAGUGGGGAAUAUUGCACAAUGGGCGGAAGCCUGAUGCAGCGACGCCGCGUGGGGGAUGACGGCCCUCGGGUUGUAAACCUCUUUCGACAGGGACGAAGCUUCGGUGACGGUACCUGUAUAAGAAGCACCGGCUAACUACGUG
This 465-nucleotide ribosomal RNA is filed under the name uncultured bacterium. RNAcentral's name for it is "partial 16S ribosomal RNA". It matches the Rfam family "Bacterial small subunit ribosomal RNA", at positions 28 to 507 of the family's 1533-position model. The record is from RNAcentral.